AGAGACUAAAAGACAGCUAAUUGCCUGUCAGGCGUCCGCACAAGUAACCUGCACAUUAAUCCGUACAACAGACUGGGUCUGUAGCUCAGGUGGUUAGAGCGCACCCCUGAUAAGGGUGAGGCCGGUGGUUCGAGUCCUCCCAGACCCACCACUAUUCGGGGCCUUAGCUCAGCUGGGAGAGCACCUGCUUUGCAAGCAGGGGGUCGUCGGUUCGAUCCCGACAGGCUCCACCAGUGUUGUAUUGGAUUGAUUGCGCACACACAUGAAGAUUUGAAGCAAUGCGGCGCUGAAGCCGGCAUUGUGUUCUUUGAAAACAAGGGAAGUAGCGAGCGUUUGAGACGAUUGUCCAAAACGUGUCGUAAGAGGCUAAGGCGAAGUAUCGAGAGAUACUUUUAUUUGAUGUUGUCGUUGAUAUUCGCGUCCGGGAUUUGUACCCCUGGACAUCACGAUGACCCCGAGGCGACUUGGGGUUAUAU
RNAcentral lists this transfer RNA (476 nucleotides) under Luteimonas aestuarii. RNAcentral describes it as "contains 16S-23S intergenic spacer region". The stretch from base 75 to 148 matches the Rfam family "tRNA". The record is from RNAcentral. Lineage: Bacteria; Pseudomonadati; Pseudomonadota; Gammaproteobacteria; Lysobacterales; Lysobacteraceae.